AACCUGGUUGAUCUUGCCAGUAGUCAUAUGCUUGUCUCACAGAUUAAGCCAUGCAAGUGAAAGUACAUAUGUAAGUAAUAUAUUGAAACUGCGAACGGCUCAUUAAAACAGUUAUAAUCUACUUGAUGUUUUUAAUAUAAGGAUAACUACGGAAAAUCUGUAGCUAAUACUUGUGAAAAUACCUUUUGAUAUAUACAUAUGUAUGUAUCAUUAAGGUAUGUAUUUGUUAGAUAUAAGAAUAAAAUAAAUAUAAUUGAAUUAUAACAAAGAAGAAACACAUAAAAUAUGUGUAUUAUCAAUCGAGUAUCUGACCUAUCAGCUUUUGAUGUUAGGGUAUUGACCUAACAUGGCUAUGACGGGUAACGGGGAAUUAGAGUUCGAUUCCGGAGAGGGAGCCUGAGAAAUAGCUACCACAUCUAAGGAAGGCAGCAGGCGCGUAAAUUACCCAAUUCUAAAAAAGAGAGGUAGUGACAAGAAAUAACAAUACAAUAUCGAAAAAUGAUUUUGUAAUUGGAAUGAUAGGAAUUUACAAGGUUCCUAGAGAAACAAUUGGAGGGCAAGUCUGGUGCCAGCAGCCGCGGUAAUUCCAGCUCCAAUAGCAUAUAUUAAAAUUGUUGCAGUUAAAACGUUCGUAGUUGAAUAUUAAAGAAUCCGAUGUUUCAUUUAAACUGGUUUGGGAAAACCAAAUAUAUUAUAUAUUUUGCUUUGUUCAAAAUAAGGUUUUCUAAUAAAUUAUGUUUUUAUCAGAUAUGACAGAAUCUUUUUUAAAAUCUCUUCAAUAUGCUUUUAUUGCUUUUGAGAGGUUUUGUUACUUUGAGUAAAAUUAAGUGUUCAUAACAGACGGGUAGUCAUGAUUGAGUUCAUUGUGUUUGAAUACUACAGCAUGGAAUAACAAAUAUGAAUAAGCUAAUUAUUUUUUUUUUUCAUAAUUUUUUUUGAUAUUCUUAUUAGCUUAGUUACGAUUAAUAGGAGUAGCUUUGGGGGCAUUCGUAUUCAGAUGUCAGAGGUGAAAUUCUAAGAUUUUCUGGAGACGGACUACUGCGAAAGCAUUUGCCUAAUCUAUUUCCAUUAAUCAAGAACGAAAGUUAAGGGAGUGAAGACGAUCAGAUACCGUCGUAAUCUUAACCAUAAACUAUACCGACUAGGUGUUGGAUGAAUAUAAAAAAUAUAUAAAUAUGUAGCAUUUCUUAGGGAAUGUUGAUUUUAUAUUAGAAUUGCUUCCUUCAGUACCUUAUGAGAAAUCAAAGUCUUUGGGUUCUGGGGCGAGUAUUCGCGCAAGCGAGAAAGUUAAAAGAAUUGACGGAAGGGCACCACCAGGCGUGGAGCUUGCGGCUUAAUUUGACUCAACACGGGAAAACUCACUAGUUUAAGACAAGAGUAGGAUUGACAGAUUAAUAGCUCUUUCUUGAUUUCUUGGAUGGUGAUGCAUGGCCGUUUUUAGUUCGUGAAUAUGAUUUGUCUGGUUAAUUCCGAUAACGAACGAGAUCUUAACCUGCUAAUUAGCGGUAAGUACACUAUAUUUUUAUUUGAAAUUGAAUAUAGGUAAUUAUACAUGUUUAUUCAGUGUUCAAAUUAGGAUAUUUUUUUAUUAAAAUAUUCUUUUCCCUGUUCUACUAUAAUAAUUUGUUUUUUUUUACUCUAUUUCUCUCUUCUUUUAAGAAUGUACUUGUUUGAUUAAAUAAAGCUUCUUAGAGGAACAGUGUGUAUCUAACACAAGGAAGUUUAAGGCAACAACAGGUCUGUGAUGUCCUUAGAUAAACUAGGCUGCACGCGUGCUACAAUGAUAUAUAUAACAAGUUGUUAAAAAUGUACUUAUAAAUAAGUGUGUACAGUUUUUCCUGUACUGAAAAGUAUAGGUAAUCUUUAUCAGUAUAUAUCGUAAUUGGGAUAGAUUAUUGCAAUUAUUAAUCUUGAACGAGGAAUGCCUAGUAAGCAUGAUUCAUUAGAUUGUGCUGACUACGUCCCUGCCCUUUGUACACACCGCCCGUCGCUCCUACCGAUUGAAAGAUAUGAUGAAUUGUUUGGAUAUGAAUUAAAAUAAUGAAAUUUUAUAUUUCUGAUUUUUUCUAGAAGAACUGUAAAUCCUAUCUUUUAAAGGAAGGAGAAGUCGUAACAAGGUUUCCGUAGGUGAACCUGCGGAAGGAUCAUUA
This 2150-nucleotide ribosomal RNA is filed under the name Plasmodium falciparum IGH-CR14. RNAcentral's name for it is "Eukaryotic small subunit ribosomal RNA". It matches the Rfam family "Eukaryotic small subunit ribosomal RNA". The record is from Rfam by way of RNAcentral. Lineage: Eukaryota; Apicomplexa; Aconoidasida; Haemosporida; Plasmodiidae.